CCUACGGGGGGCAGCAGUGGGGAAUAUUGGACAAUGGGCGAAAGCCUGAUCCAGCCAUGCCGCGUGUGUGUAGAAGGCCUUCGGGUUGUAAAGCACUUUCAGUGGGGAAGAAAGCCUUGGGGCUAAUACCCUCGAGGAAGGACAUCACCCACAGAAGAAGCACCGGCUAACUCCGUGCCAGCAGCCGCGGUAAUACGGAGGGUGCGAGCGUUAAUCGGAAUUACUGGGCGUAAAGCGCGCGUAGGCGGUCUGAUAAGCCGGUUGUGAAAGCCCCGGGCUCAACCUGGGAACGGCAUCCGGAACUGUCAGGCUAGAGUGCAGGAGAGGAAGGUAGAAUUCCCGGUGUAGCGGUGAAAUGCGUAGAGAUCGGGAGGAAUACCAGUGGCGAAGGCGGCCUUCUGGACUGACACUGACGCUGAGGUGCGAAAGCGUGGGUAGCAAACAGGAUUAGAUACCCGGGUAGUC
RNAcentral lists this ribosomal RNA (465 nucleotides) under Vreelandella stevensii. RNAcentral describes it as "partial 16S ribosomal RNA". It matches the Rfam family "Bacterial small subunit ribosomal RNA", at positions 338 to 795 of the family's 1533-position model. Lineage: Bacteria; Pseudomonadati; Pseudomonadota; Gammaproteobacteria; Oceanospirillales; Halomonadaceae. The record is from RNAcentral.